UACGUUCCCGGGUCUUGUACACACCGCCCGUCACACCAUGGGAGCGGGUUUUACCAGAAGUAGGUAGCCUAACCGUAAGGAGGGCGCUUACCACGGUAGGAUUCGUGACUGGGGUG
Molecule: ribosomal RNA, 116 nt
Filed under: uncultured bacterium
Lineage: Bacteria
Description: partial 16S ribosomal RNA
Rfam family: Bacterial small subunit ribosomal RNA
Source: RNAcentral